ACGAACGCUGGCGGCGUGCCUAAUACAUGCAAGUAGAACGCUGAAGAGAGGAGCUUGCUCUUCUUGGAUGAGUUGCGAACGGGUGAGUAACGCGUAGGUAACCUGCCUUGUAGCGGGGGAUAACUAUUGGAAACGAUAGCUAAUACCGCAUAACAAUGGAUGACACAUGUCAUUUAUUUGAAAGGGGCAAUUGCUCCACUACAAGAUGGACCUGCGUUGUAUUAGCUAGUAGGUGAGGUAAUGGCUCACCUAGGCGACGAUACAUAGCCGACCUGAGAGGGUGAUCGGCCACACUGGGACUGAGACACGGCCCAGACUCCUACGGGAGGCAGCAGUAGGGAAUCUUCGGCAAUGGGGGCAACCCUGACCGAGCAACGCCGCGUGAGUGAAGAAGGUUUUCGGAUCGUAAAGCUCUGUUGUAAGUCAAGAACGGGUGUGAGAGUGGAAAGUUCACACUGUGACGGUAGCUUACCAGAAAGGGACGGCUAACUACGUGCCAGCAGCCGCGGUAAUACGUAGGUCCCGAGCGUUGUCCGGAUUUAUUGGGCGUAAAGCGAGCGCAGGCGGUUUGAUAAGUCUGAAGUUAAAGGCUGUGGCUCAACCAUAGUUCGCUUUGGAAACUGUCAAACUUGAGUGCAGAAGGGGAGAGUGGAAUUCCAUGUGUAGCGGUGAAAUGCGUAGAUAUAUGGAGGAACACCGGUGGCGAAAGCGGCUCUCUGGUCUGUAACUGACGCUGAGGCUCGAAAGCGUGGGGAGCGAACAGGAUUAGAUACCCUGGUAGUCCACGCCGUAAACGAUGAGUGCUAGGUGUUGGAUCCUUUCCGGGAUUCAGUGCCGCAGCUAACGCAUUAAGCACUCCGCCUGGGGAGUACGACCGCAAGGUUGAAACUCAAAGGAAUUGACGGGGGCCCGCACAAGCGGUGGAGCAUGUGGUUUAAUUCGAAGCAACGCGAAGAACCUUACCAGGUCUUGACAUCCCGAUGCUAUUUCUAGAGAUAGAAAGUUACUUCGGUACAUCGGUGACAGGUGGUGCAUGGUUGUCGUCAGCUCGUGUCGUGAGAUGUUGGGUUAAGUCCCGCAACGAGCGCAACCCCUAUUGUUAGUUGCCAUCAUUCAGUUGGGCACUCUAGCGAGACUGCCGGUAAUAAACCGGAGGAAGGUGGGGAUGACGUCAAAUCAUCAUGCCCCUUAUGACCUGGGCUACACACGUGCUACAAUGGUUGGUACAACGAGUUGCGAGUCGGUGACGGCGAGCUAAUCUCUUAAAGCCAAUCUCAGUUCGGAUUGUAGGCUGCAACUCGCCUACAUGAAGUCGGAAUCGCUAGUAAUCGCGGAUCAGCACGCCGCGGUGAAUACGUUCCCGGGCCUUGUAUUACACCGCCCGUCACACCACGAGAGUUUGUAACACCCGAAGUCGGUGAGGUAACCUUUUGGAGCCAGCCGCCUAAGGUGGGACAGAUGAUUGGGG
RNAcentral lists this ribosomal RNA (1468 nucleotides) under Streptococcus thermophilus. RNAcentral's name for it is "bacterial SSU rRNA". It matches the Rfam family "Bacterial small subunit ribosomal RNA". The record is from RNAcentral. Lineage: Bacteria; Bacillati; Bacillota; Bacilli; Lactobacillales; Streptococcaceae.